GUGACUGCGUACCUUUUGUAUAAUGGGUCAGCGACUUAUAUUCUGUAGCAAGGUUAACCGUAUAGGGGAGCCGCAGGGAAACCGAGUCUUAAUUGGGCGUUAAGUUGCAGGGUAUAGACCCGAAACCCGGUGAUCUAGCCAUGGGCAGGUUGAAGGUUGGGUAACACUAACUGGAGGACCGAACCGACUAAUGUUGAAAAAUUAGCGGAUGACCUGUGGCUGGGGGUGAAAGGCCAAUCAAACCGGGAGAUAGCUGGUUCUCCCCGAAAGCUAUUUAGGUAGCGCCUCGUGAAUUCAUCUCCGGGGGUAGAGCACUGUUUCGGCUAGGGGGCCAUCCCGGCUUACCAACCCGAUGCAAACUGCGAAUACCGGAGAAUGUUAUCACGGGAGACACACGGCGGGUGCUAACGUCCGUCGUGAAGAGGGAAACAACCCAGACCGCCAGCUAAGGUCCCAAAGUCAUGGUUAAGUGGGAAACGAUGUGGGAAGGCCCAGACAGCCAGGAUGUUGGCUUAGAAGCAGCCAUCAUUUAAAGAAAGCGUAAUAGCUCACUGGUCGAGUCGGCCUGCGCGGAAGAUGUAACGGGGCUAAACCAUGCACCGAAGCUGCGGCAGCGA
This 617-nucleotide ribosomal RNA is filed under the name Salmonella enterica subsp. enterica serovar Derby. RNAcentral describes it as "partial 23S ribosomal RNA". It matches the Rfam family "Bacterial large subunit ribosomal RNA", at positions 593 to 1211 of the family's 2925-position model. RNAcentral also lists the same sequence under 4 other names. Lineage: Bacteria; Pseudomonadati; Pseudomonadota; Gammaproteobacteria; Enterobacterales; Enterobacteriaceae. The record is from RNAcentral.